This 1372-nucleotide ribosomal RNA is filed under the name uncultured bacterium. Its description in RNAcentral is "bacterial SSU rRNA". It matches the Rfam family "Bacterial small subunit ribosomal RNA", at positions 28 to 1381 of the family's 1533-position model. The record is from RNAcentral.
GAUGAACGCUGGCGGCGUGCCUAAUACAUGCAAGUCGAGCGAACGGACGAGAAGCUUGCUUCUCUGAUGUUAGCGGCGGACGGGUGAGUAACACGUGGAUAACCUACCUAUAAGACUGGGAUAACUUCGGGAAACCGGAGCUAAUACCGGAUAAUAUUUUGAACCGCAUGGUUCAAAAGUGAAAGACGGUCUUGCUGUCACUUAUAGAUGGAUCCGCGCUGCAUUAGCUAGUUGGUAAGGUAACGGCUUACCAAGGCAACGAUGCAUAGCCGACCUGAGAGGGUGAUCGGCCACACUGGAACUGAGACACGGUCCAGACUCCUACGGGAGGCAGCAGUAGGGAAUCUUCCGCAAUGGGCGAAAGCCUGACGGAGCAACGCCGCGUGAGUGAUGAAGGUCUUCCGAUCGUAAAACUCUGUUAUUAGGGAAGAACAUAUGUGUAAGUAACUGUGCACAUCUUGACGGUACCUAAUCAGAAAGCCACGGCUAACUACGUGCCAGCAGCCGCGGUAAUACGUAGGUGGCAAGCGUUAUCCGGAAUUAUUGGGCGUAAAGCGCGCGUAGGCGGUUUUUUAAGUCUGAUGUGAAAGCCCACGGCUCAACCGUGGAGGGUCAUUGGAAACUGGAAAACUUGAGUGCAGAAGAGGAAAGUGGAAUUCCAUGUGUAGCGGUGAAAUGCGCAGAGAUAUGGAGGAACACCAGUGGCGAAGGCGACUUUCUGGUCUGUAACUGACGCUGAUGUGCGAAAGCGUGGGGAUCAAACAGGAUUAGAUACCCUGGUAGUCCACGCCGUAAACGAUGAGUGCUAAGUGUUAGGGGGUUUCCGCCCCUUAGUGCUGUAGCUAACGCAUUAAGCACUCCGCCUGGGGAGUACGACCGCAAGGUUGAAACUCAAAGGAAUUGACGGGGACCCGCACAAGCGGUGGAGCAUGUGGUUUAAUUCGAAGCAACGCGAAGAACCUUACCAAAUCUUGACAUCCUUUGACAACUCUAGAGAUAGAGCUUUCCCCUUCGGGGGACAAAGUGACAGGUGGUGCAUGGUUGUCGUCAGCUCGUGUCGUGAGAUGUUGGGUUAAGUCCCGCAACGAGCGCAACCCUUAAGCUUAGUUGCCAUCAUUAAGUUGGGCACUCUAAGUUGACUGCCGGUGACAAACCGGAGGAAGGUGGGGAUGACGUCAAAUCAUCAUGCCCCUUAUGAUUUGGGCUACACACGUGCUACAAUGGACAAUACAAAGGGCAGCGAAACCGCGAGGUCAAGCAAAUCCCAUAAAGUUGUUCUCAGUUCGGAUUGUAGUCUGCAACUCGACUACAUGAAGCUGGAAUCGCUAGUAAUCGUAGAUCAGCAUGCUACGGUGAAUACGUUCCCGGGUCU